This 323-nucleotide ribosomal RNA is filed under the name Staphylococcus aureus. RNAcentral's name for it is "bacterial SSU rRNA". It matches the Rfam family "Bacterial small subunit ribosomal RNA", at positions 496 to 818 of the family's 1533-position model. Lineage: Bacteria; Bacillati; Bacillota; Bacilli; Caryophanales; Staphylococcaceae. The record is from RNAcentral.
GCUAACUACGUGCCAGCAGCCGCGGUAAUACGUAGGUGGCAAGCGUUAUCCGGAAUUAUUGGGCGUAAAGCGCGCGUAGGCGGUUUUUUAAGUCUGAUGUGAAAGCCCACGGCUCAACCGUGGAGGGUCAUUGGAAACUGGAAAACUUGAGUGCAGAAGAGGAAAGUGGAAUUCCAUGUGUAGCGGUGAAAUGCGCAGAGAUAUGGAGGAACACCAGUGGCGAAGGCGACUUUCUGGUCUGUAACUGACGCUGAUGUGCGAAAGCGUGGGGAUCAAACAGGAUUAGAUACCCUGGUAGUCCACGCCGUAAACGAUGAGUGCUA